UCAUCAUCAUUGCUUCAAUGUGCUUUUCCACUGAUAAGAAGGAAAGUGGCACUAUUGCUUGUUCUCUAAAUCUUUCCUGAGGCAAGGGUGUCUGAAGAAGCCAGGCUAGGCUCCUGGCUGGAUGAAAUUGGAGGUGAAGAUAAUGUGGCAAGAUACACACACACACACACACACACACACACACAGAAUGAUAUCUUUGUAAGAGUUCUUGCCACCUGUGGUAACACAGUCUGCCCAUCAGGAAGAGGGUACCCAAGGCUGUUGGAGGUUGUCCCUGGGUGGGGUGAAGCGGGGUCCUCAUUUACUGUCGUGUGUUCCUGAAAUUGGGCACUCUGCCCUUCCCCACCCCAGCCCUGCACCCAGAAGGUUUCAUUUGUCCCAGAGUUACCUGACCUGGCCCACAUCUGAAAGGAGCUCAGGCUGGGCCUUCAUGUGGCUAUUGAUUUAGGCACAAGGCUUCCCAAAUCCCAGACUGCAGGAGGCUUUUACCCACCCUGACCCCAUAUACCUGGCUUCAGCUCCAGCCCACAGGCCACCUCUACAAGCACAGGUCAGUUCCGUUUCUUUCCUUCUAAAGUGGAUUUUUCUCCUCUCUCCACCUCUCUGCCUCUGUAGGGCCACAGGUGGAGGCUUUCCCAUUAGAAGAUCUGGGAGCCUUGCCAUUACUGCCGAAGCAUCUGCUGGUUUUCUGUAAAUUGAAAUCUUCUGGCCACUGAAGAUGUGAGGCACGUGGCACAGAGCCUUCUGUGGAAAUGCAGCACCACACUCAAUAACGUGGCCCACGGUCAGCAACAAAUAAGGAAAUGUGUGGCCCUUUCGAAGUGUCAUGCAGAGCCCUGGCCUGCCCUGCGUGCUGCCUGCCCAGAACCCUGCCUCCUUCUGAGUGGCUGGGGCUGCAAAGCUCCUUUGGGGACAAAGAGAACAGACUUGGCACGUUGGCCACUCUGGCCUGCAGACAGCAGUGGGAAGACUCAGCAGAGACCCAGCUACCCCAGAGCCUCAUGGGACUUGGAUGCAGUCUCUUUCCAGGACCACACCAAGGUUUGUCUGACCCUGGAAGCAGAACUCCCCAAGGGAAGCUGGAGGCCAAUGCCAACCCCUCUCUGCCCCACCAUUUUGUUUCCCAAUGACCAUGUCCACCUGGUGAUACAAGCUGGAUCCUUUGCAGUGUGAGAUUGUCUCUUGGAUAAGAAGCAAAAUAGGAAUUGAGUAGUUCCUCCCAACUCUGGCUGCCAGUCAUAUGAAACCUGCCUCCUUAAGCAACAAGUCCAUUCCUUCUGGGGUCACAAAGUGCCAAGCAGGGCUGACAGCAUGGCCUUUGCUCUUCAUCUUCCACUCCCUUUGUCUCUUUCUCAGCUUUUGCCUUCCAGACAUGGCUUUCCUGGCACCUUUCCAAUAGUCUGUCCCCACCAUGCCCAGGGACAACCCCCACCACCCUCAUGCUGUUUUCAAAUAUGAGUUCACUGCUUUCAUUAGCUGCCUCUUCUUUUUCUUCUUCACUGGAAUAAUUUGUAAUUGUAAAGACAAAAUGUCCUUCCUUGGGCAAAACGUUCCUCUAAAAAUUUAUUAGUGUGUUUUUCUCAUUUACAUUUCCUUGUAGGUGAUAUUCUAUCCACAACAUUCCAGAGGCAAUAUUCCCUGAAAUCUUCCAGAAAUAACUAGAAGACUAAUAACUGUUGCAGGAAGAACAUAACAACAAAGAUAGAAUCAGCUUUUGAGACCUAAAAUAGGAUUUGUGUCCACAACCAGAAAAGAGUCUUGAAAGCUAGGCUUUAUCUACAGAUAAAAGAAAAAAGAUUUUUCUUCUACAUUCCAUUGGUUCCUGCAACAGUCAGGUUUAUGUGUCACCUGGGCCAGACUCUAGUCCCUGGUGAUUCCAUCAAACACUGGUCUAGGUGUUGCCGUGGAGGCAUUUUGUAGCUGUGGACUUGAAGUAAAGUAGAGACUCAUCCUUAAUGAUGUGGGUGGGCCUCACACAAUCAACUGAGAGGCCUAACGAGCAAAGACUGAGGUUUCCCAGAGAAGAGGUAAUUCUACCCCAAGACUGCAGGGUCAGCUCCUGCCUGAGUCUUAGGCCUGCUCACCUGCCCUGCAGAUUUCAGACUUGCCAGCCCCACAGUCACAUAAACCAGUUUCUUAAAAUCUGUCUAUGUACCCCUCUAUCUAUAUAUUAAUAUCUAUCUGUCUAAUCUCCAAUUGAUUCUAUUCUUUUCUCUGGGGAACCCUGACUGAUGAGAUAGGACUUAAUGCUUCAGUCUUGAGGCUGAGUUUCCAGCCUGCCUGCCUGCAAAUAUUGAACUUGCCUAGCCAGCAAUCACAUAAGCCACAAUCACAUAAGCCACAUCACCCAAAAUCAGAUAAGCUAUUUCUUGUUUUUAUAUAUAUUUAACACAUAUACACACACAUCUAUGUAGACACAUACACAUGUGUGUAUAUGUGUGUGUAAUAUGUGUGCAUGUGUGUAUAUGUAAUAUAUGUCUCUGUGUGUGUGUGUGUGUGUGUAUGUGUGUGUG
RNAcentral lists this long non-coding RNA (2513 nucleotides) under Macaca mulatta (Rhesus monkey). RNAcentral's name for it is "lncRNA (ENSMMUG00000052468.1)". Lineage: Eukaryota; Metazoa; Chordata; Mammalia; Primates; Cercopithecidae. The record is from RNAcentral.